GAGGAGGAGGAGGCGGGUCUGACUGGUGGAGACAAAGAGAUGAUCAGAGUCCGAGCGGUCCUAGCGCCGGAACCCGGGCUGUACGGCCUAACGGGUCCUAGUGCCCAGGAGUCAACUUCCUCUAAGACUGGACGAAACCUCAGUUGCUGUUAGGACACGUCGAUACAAAAGAGAUUUGGUGCAUUUACUCAAUCCAGCUAACAGUCCGUCUGUAGAUCCAGUGCUCAACAUGUCUGUUCUGGACUACAGUGGAAACAUGGUGGACUCCGCCAGAGGACCUGCUCCCUCUGUAGACCUGCUCCCUCUGUAGAUGAAAAUGGUUCAUUCGAAGGUGGCAGCGAUGCGUGCGGUCUGAACGGUCAACGAGAUGCAUCUGGUGCAGCAACAGGAUCUCAGCUCUCGACUCAAACUUUCUGAAUCAGUUCGAGCGACAAAAGAUUUUCAUGGCUGAAUUCCCUUCUUUCACAU
Long non-coding RNA from Scatophagus argus, 468 nucleotides. RefSeq lists it as uncharacterized. NCBI's taxonomy places the organism in Eukaryota, Metazoa, Chordata, Actinopteri, Scatophagidae. The transcript is spliced from 3 exons. The record is from RefSeq and is a predicted model, not a curated record.